UUUCGAACGCACAUUGCGGCCCUAGGACUUGUUCCUGGGCCACACCUGACUGAGGGUCGGUUGACCAAACUCAACGACCAGACUGUCCCCUCAAGCUUGUCUUGGGGGACGAGRUUGGAGGUUUCCGCGCUUGCGUGGUCCUCUUAAAUAACGUGAGUGUGGGCUCGGCGUUCGCGUCGUCCCACCGAUUCGCUGCACGGAAAACUCAUGUAUAUAUCGAGUGGAAUGGAGAUGUGGUCGACCACCGCUAAGAGAAGCGGCUCUCCCAUCUGAGUCUCACACAAACGAGUAUACAGAAGGAUCUGACGGUCAUGCCGUUAGCGUGCGUCCGUUUUCGAGUUUCACUUGAACGGCGUUCCGACGGGUAGACCCGAACACAGUGGCUCCUUCGGGGCAAAGAUACCUUCUGAAACAU
RNAcentral lists this ribosomal RNA (415 nucleotides) under Scirtothrips aurantii. RNAcentral's name for it is "eukaryotic LSU rRNA". Lineage: Eukaryota; Metazoa; Arthropoda; Insecta; Thysanoptera; Thripidae. The record is from RNAcentral.